RNAcentral lists this small nuclear RNA (97 nucleotides) under Prolemur simus (greater bamboo lemur). Lineage: Eukaryota; Metazoa; Chordata; Mammalia; Primates; Lemuridae. The record is from RNAcentral.
GUGCUUGUUUCAGCAGCACAUGUACUAAAAUUGAAAAGGUACAGAGAUUAGCAUGGCCCCUGCACAAAGAUGAUACACGAAUUCAUUCCAAAAAAUU